UAAGGAUGAUCAAGAAUUGGAACUCUUUUAAAAAAGAACUUUCCUUUUUGAUCUCACUAGACAAUAAAGGUCUUAAACAGUUUUGUUUAAACCUUGUACAUAUGACACAAACGCCUCAUGAACCCCCUCUUAAAGGGAGGUCCCUCUUUGAUAAAAAGAGUCCCCUACCUCCAUAAGAAAGUUCUAUGAAAGCCAAGUGUUCAUAUGGUAAGUUAUACAAGCAGACAGGCCGUCUUCGUUUCUCUUUCUUCAGAUGAUGAUCCCAAGCCUUCUGGCGAUCUGUUAGCAAUAAUGCGCCCUUAUUUUGAAUGGUGCUUUAAAGAAAAGAGCUCUAAAAAGCUUUUGUGUUAAGAGUAUGCCGGGGUAGGUUUUCCGGUUUAUCCCGGAGGGCUUG
RNAcentral lists this unclassified non-coding RNA (394 nucleotides) under uncultured Bartonella sp. RNAcentral describes it as "partial 16S-23S ribosomal RNA intergenic spacer". Lineage: Bacteria; Pseudomonadati; Pseudomonadota; Alphaproteobacteria; Hyphomicrobiales; Bartonellaceae. The record is from RNAcentral.